RNAcentral lists this non-coding RNA (87 nucleotides) under Oceanobacillus massiliensis. RNAcentral describes it as "Purine riboswitch". It matches the Rfam family "Purine riboswitch aptamer", at positions 8 to 91 of the family's 102-position model. From Rfam's summary of the family: Riboswitches are metabolite binding domains within certain messenger RNAs that serve as precision sensors for their corresponding targets. Allosteric rearrangement of mRNA structure is mediated by ligand binding, and this results in modulation of gene expression. A class of riboswitches that selectively recognises guanine and becomes saturated at concentrations as low as 5 nM. The record is from RNAcentral. Lineage: Bacteria; Bacillati; Bacillota; Bacilli; Caryophanales; Bacillaceae.
UUCUAAUAAUGAAUUUUCAUAUAAUCGCAGGGAUAUGGCCUGCAAGUUUCUACCGGUUUGCCGUAAAUGAACCGACUAUGAAAAGCA